UCCAUCAGCAGGUGCUCUGUGAUGGUGACAUCACCGUGCUGAGGCUCUGGUCUUUUUAAGCCAGUUUGUCCCCCGUCGAGUUCCCAGGAGCUGCCACCAGCGUCUUGGUCUUGGUUCUCCAGCAUAAGGUGGCGCCUGUCAGAUCAUUAUUCUUGGGAAGGCCAGCUGUCAGGGAUAGUCACGAACAGCCCGAUGGAGAGGCCUGUGUGGGAAGAGCUGAGCCUCCAGCCAACAGCCACAAGAAGCUGAAGCCUUCUGCCAAAGGCCACGUGGGUGAGCUUGAACGUGGAUCCUCCAGCCCUGUCAAGCCUUCAGCAGACUGAAGCCCGGGUGAACAUCUUGACUUGACUUCAUGAGAGAUCCUAUCAGAAACACCGGACUAAACUGCGCCUCAAUUUCUGACCUUCAGAAAUGGAGAUAAAAAAUGCUGCUUUAAACCACUAAAUGUUGGAGGAGGGAAUUUGUUAUGCAGCAAUAGAUAACUAAUACACCCUU
Manis pentadactyla (Chinese pangolin) is the source of this 495-nucleotide long non-coding RNA. RefSeq lists it as uncharacterized. The record is from RefSeq and is a predicted model, not a curated record. Lineage: Eukaryota; Metazoa; Chordata; Mammalia; Pholidota; Manidae. The transcript has 2 exons.